CUGGGACGGAAGGAUCGACUCC
Molecule: transfer RNA, 22 nt
Filed under: Stenocereus gummosus
Lineage: Eukaryota; Viridiplantae; Streptophyta; Magnoliopsida; Caryophyllales; Cactaceae
Description: partial tRNA-Gln
Source: RNAcentral